AGCAGUCGCCACGGUAAUACGUAGGUGGCAAGCGUUGUCCGGAAUUAUUGGGCGUAAAGGGCUCGCAGGCGGUUUCUUAAGUCUGAUGUGAAAGCCCCCGGCUCAACCGGGGAGGGUCAUUGGAAACUGGGAAACUUGAGUGCAGAAGAGGAGAGUGGAAUUCCACGUGUAGCGGUGAAAUGCGUAGAGAUGUGGAGGAACACCAGUGGCGAAGGCGACUCUCUGGUCUGUAACUGACGCUGAGGAGCGAAAGCGUGGGGAGCGAACAGGAUUAGAGACCCGCGUAGUCCCUGUCUCUUAUAC
This 303-nucleotide ribosomal RNA is filed under the name uncultured bacterium. RNAcentral describes it as "partial 16S ribosomal RNA". It matches the Rfam family "Bacterial small subunit ribosomal RNA", at positions 507 to 807 of the family's 1533-position model. The record is from RNAcentral.